This 497-nucleotide ribosomal RNA is filed under the name uncultured bacterium. RNAcentral describes it as "partial 16S ribosomal RNA". It matches the Rfam family "Bacterial small subunit ribosomal RNA", at positions 28 to 507 of the family's 1533-position model. The record is from RNAcentral.
GAUGAACGCUGGCGGCGUGCCUAAUACAUGCAAGUCGAGCGAACGGACGAGAAGCUUGCUUCUCUGAUGUUAGCGGCGGACGGGUGAGUAACACGUGGAUAACCUACCUAUAAGACUGGGAUAACUUCGGGAAACCGGAGCUAAUACCGGAUAAUAUUUUGAACCGCAUGGUUCAAAAGUGAAAGACGGUCUUGCUGUCACUUAUAGAUGGAUCCGCGCUGCAUUAGCUAGUUGGUAAGGUAACGGCUUACCAAGGCAACGAUGCAUAGCCGACCUGAGAGGGUGAUAGGCCACACUGGACCUGAGACACGGUCCAGACUCCUACGGGAGGCAGCAGUAGGGAAUCUUCCGCAAUGGGCGAAAGCCUGACGGAGCAACGCCGCGUGAGUGAUGAAGGUCUUCGGAUCGUAAAACUCUGUUAUUAGGGAAGAACAUAUGUGUAAGUAACUGUGCACAUCUUGACGGUACCUAAUCAGAAAGCCACGGCUAACUACGUG